This 8772-nucleotide long non-coding RNA is filed under the name Aquilegia coerulea. Its description in RNAcentral is "long non-coding RNA (ACOE_LNC002298)". Lineage: Eukaryota; Viridiplantae; Streptophyta; Magnoliopsida; Ranunculales; Ranunculaceae. The record is from RNAcentral.
AAAAAAAAGAUAAGCUGGAGUUGGAAAUAAGUUGCAGAGUGUUCAGAUGUUCUACUAUGCUUCCUUCUAUGUGAGUUCAUGCCAGUCUCAACAGGCUAUAUGACAGAUCGCAGUUCAACAAAUUUCGCAAGGUACAACACACGAGUAAGGGGAGGGAGUAAGACUACAAAUGAUCAGCACCCCGACAAGAAUGAAGUCUGCAGCGGGUUAGGGACUGUGGAAGAGCCACAUAUGAUCAUUACUGACUCAUACAGUUAUACAUUAGGGACUGUAUAAGAGCCACAUGAUCAUUACUGAUCAUAAAGUUAUACAUUAUCAUGUACUCGCUAUUUUUGAGUUUGUUUUAACUUUUUAGGUGAACAUCUAACACAUUGGAAAUGAGAAACAUGUAGUCGAUGUAAGUCAGUUGCAGAUUAUAUGUACUGAUGCAUAUGCAUAAAGAUAGCAUGUGCAAGGCACAUGCCUCAUAGUUCCUGCAGAUUUCUAUAUGGAUUAGAACAUCCCUAGUAGUAGUUUCUAUUUACUUAGCUUUCUAGUUUAGUUAGGAUUAAGUUUAGGCUAUUAUAAAUAGGGGAUUACAAACCUUAUUGAAGAGGUGAGAUUGAAGAUUUGUUUAUGUCUUGAGACAUUAAAUUCGUUUUUGUGAAGAACCCUAGUUUUUGGGUGUUCAAACCAUUUAUUUAAUUGGUGUUCUUAUUAUUGUUUGCUUCCGCCGAUAAUAUUACAUCAAAAUUGGUAUCAAGAGCUUGUUUUUUCUGGGUUUAGAAGAUAAAAACCUGAUUUUUUUUACAAGAGUCGCGUUCAAGUUGGUGAUUUGAAGAUGGGUUAUCGUAGAAGAGGUCAAAGAGAGUUUUCGCCCCCGUCGGAUCGUUGGAGUUUACAAGAAUCGAAGCGUUAUACCGAUUCUGAAUAUAAAACUCCCAACUUUGAUCCUAGCCGCCGCUUUCCUCUUUCCAGAAGGUAUGAACCUCCCUCUUCCUCUCGUUCCCCUUCUCCCCCACGCAGGCGACGUCAUAGUUAUUAUGACGAUGGAUAUUAUUCCCACCACCAGCAAGACACGCACCCUCCUCGAUGUGGUUUUCAGCAACAAUAUGUUGUUUAUGGUGCUAAAUAUUCCCAUGGAAACCGUCCAAAGACUUAUGAUCACGAUGGUCUUCGUAGUCGCAAUUCUAAGGUUACUUCGUAUGGAGAUUACCCAUACUAUAUUGAAUCUGAAAUCGAUUCUAGGAACGAUGACUCCAUGAUUGAUUAUGAAGAAGAUGAGUUUUCUGACGAGGAAAGUUGUUAUGAUAAUGAUUCUUUGUGUGUUGAAUAUUCUGAUGAUGAAACUAGUGCAGAAUUUGAGUUUGGUAAUGCUCCCAUUAUGAAGAGUUUGGUUGCAGUCCUUGCACCGUCAAACCUCUACACUUCCACCUCAAUUGUUCACCCAUCACAAGUCUCUAACAGCAACAACCAGCAGAUUUUAUUGCUGCAGUAGGCUCAUUAUCCGGAUGAUGUCUUCAUAACAUCACCAAGCAUACAACAAGGUUUGAAGGAACUUUUAAAUUGUUUUACUAAAUUAAAAACUCAAUUUGCGACUUUUAAGGAAGAAUUUGUUGAAGAAGAGAAACGACUUGACAAAGAAGCGGAGAUUAAUUUCUUACUCAACAUGUUUGAAGAAGAAAAAUACGUCACUCGUACUCGAAUUGGUGGUUUACAAAGUUACAAUCUUGUUGAUUUCUUUUCCAUUUUUGGUGAUGAUAGUGAUGAUACAUCUAGUUUUGUGUCUCUUGAGUUAAAAGUUGCAUGUGUGGAUCAAGUAGAAGAUUUGAUUGAAAAAUCUGCAAGGGAGAUAAAUAAGAAGUUCUAUUUGUUGCCCAAGCAAGGAAACCUGGUUGUUGUCCAUGACAAUGGUAAAGAGGAUGAACGUUCUCGGAAUUUCGCUCAUCACUCCCAUGAAUCGAUGAAUUCCAUUGAUUCCGACCGACAAAUUGAUGAUUUUUAUCAUCCCCACAAAUUCCGUCCCAUAAAAGUAAUUGGUAAUUUGUUUGGUGGUUAUGUUGAUCCUUAUCUAUUCCAAGAUGAGAAUGGAUUUUCUCUAUGGAGGGACAAACACCUUCAAUUCUUAUUUCUUGACAUGCGGCUAUAUUGUUCCAAUCAAUUGGGUUGUCCUAAUGAUGCACCUAUGACAUUAAUGUCCAUAAUUGUUUCUGCGAGCAACUAUCUGGGGAAGAUUCAUGGUCGGAUUUUCUGCACCAACGUAAGGUUGAGGUUGAUGUACAAGAGUCGUUUUGAACUUUGGAGGAUGUUAGUACACAAACUCGAGGACGAGUUUUUUUCAAGUUGGGGGGAUUUGAUGCAUAUGUAUAAAGAUAGCAUGUGCAAGGCACAUGCCUCAUAGUUCCUGCAGAUAACUAUAUGGAUUAAAACAUCCCUAGUAGUAGUUUCUAUUUACUUAGCUUUCUAGUUUAGUUAGGAUUAGGUUUAGGCUAUUAUAAAUAGGGGAUUGCAAACCUUAUUGAGGAGGUGAGAUUGAAGAUUUGUUUAUGUCUUGAGACAUUAAAUUCGUUUUUGUGAAGAACCCUAGUUUUUGGGUGUUCAAACCAUUUAUUUAAUUGGUGUUCUUAUUAUUGUUUGCUUCCGCCGAUAAUAUUACAUCAUGUACUCACUAUUUUUUAUAUUGCACCUUUAAGCCCAUACUUUAUAUCAUCAGCAAGUAUUAAAUUGAGCGUUGAUUACUUGAUAGCCCAUUCAUGAAAUUUUAAUUCGACUUUCGGAGAAUUUUAAAUGACAUUGACAUACUAUGUUAGUGAAUUGAAUACUAGCAAUGUACACUAUAGAAGGAGUGCCAGGUCUGAAUCAAUCUUGGCUGCCAAUUUCGUUCCUUGCUAAACCUACUUUUACUUCUUAUUAGUAUGUUUAAUUUUUUAGUUAAAUUUAAAUAAAAAUUCCAUUAAACAAACAAACUACGAAUUUAUUGCUUCGUGGACAACAUUUUCUUGCAAUUAAAAUCAUUGUGCAUCUCCUUCUCCUGCACUAAUGGUGCAUUAUCCAUCUCCUUUUUCUCCUCUAAUGAUGCAUUGCCAUAGUAGCACAGUCCGGGCGUAGCCCGGGCCUUACCUGCUAGUAAUACUUAUGUUGAUAGCAAGAAAGGUUUGCAUAGAAAAGUAAAGGUAAAUUGAAAGGGGUAGUUAACAGAAAGAAAAAGAAAAAAGAGUUUCUAAAAGUGAAAUCUUUCAAAUAAAACUACUUGUGCAUAGUGAAAACACAAAGAAAUACCUUCGCAGGCUUAAAUAGUGUCUAAUACUACUAACGCACCGAAGGUUGGUGAAAAAUAUACUAGCUUAUUGAUACAUGUGUAUCUUUGGCAUGUUCCGAUUGCACACCGGACAAAGGUCACUAUCUGUAUAUAGAGGGAUCAUCAAUCGAUAACGAAGAAUGACACGGUAUUCGAUAGGCGUCAUGCGUUGUCCAAGCCCCUCCAUCUGAUAGCAAGGAGAAAAUCCUUGGCAUGUUCCGACUGCACACAUUAAAUCACGGUCUUCUGUCUAGCUGACAACUCAAAUUCCCUCGCAAGACCAAAACUAAUCUUGUUGUAAUAUGUUUCCACCAAGACAUGUUGGGGUCUGAAGGGGACGGUAGCAGUUAGAACAAGAUUAUUGAGAUCAAAAUAAGGCAUAGAAAGAUGUAAACUAGCAAUGGCAUUAUCAAAAAUAUUACCCAUAGGUGCAAACUCACAACCUCAAAGAAUGUGGUCUUGAAAAUCCUUGGCUUGAGUACGUGAAGCUACGAAAGCAAACUUUAUAAUAUCAGUGGCACAAUAGAUACCAAGUCCACUCAAGCGUAAUAGAAGGAUUGCUAUACGCCAAUGUAAAUGGCCAAAACUAGACCCAUCAGAAACCACAAUAUUCUGAAGGGCUGCACGAAGCUUGCGGGCGAACCAUUCGACUGUUUCCUGAACAUAAUCUGGAGAGCAAGUACGAAGAGCAAAAGUGAGUUUAGAUAAUCCCAUACAAGAACGUAAAAGUGUCAACUCACAUUGUUGAUCCUUUAGUUGUGGUAAUAGAUUCAUAACAUGAAGUGUCUUAUCCACUCGGUGACGAACAUUACCCACAAUAAAGGAUGCAUCAAUACUUACAGGCCCUCUAAACAACUUAGCCCCUUACCGAAGACAUGAUAUACCAGCCGAAAAUAUAGUCUUCCCAGAGUUAAUUUUUACCUUUGUCCUCUACUGUUUCUAACAUAAACAACAGACAUAAAAUAACUUCUCUUAGCAAUGCUAUCAAACAAUUUCGCAUAUAUGAAUUGAUCUAAGGAGGCCACCACAUUCACUUGAAAGCAUGUAGGGUCUCAUAAGAUCCAGAUUCUGCCCCUGGGUCCUUGUCUCCAUUGUUAACACACUGCCAGUGUGGUAACAUGUUGUUUUGUACAUACGCAUACUUGUAACUUUAGAUCUUAGUUUCAACUAAACCAAUGAAACUAAGCCUUAUAGUUCUUCAACUAAAUACCUGACUUCUGCCCCUUUUGUAAGGUAUUCAAUCCUCUAAUGUUCCAAACACCUAGUUUGUUUGUUGUCAUAUUUAAACUACUGAUGUUUGUAACCUUAGUACUUCCCCUCUUCAUUUUCAAUUAGAUUUGAACCAAAUCAAGGGAUUUCUCUGGCCAUCAAACUGUUGUUUAGAGGUACGCUUGCCUCCACCUACUCCAUGGUCAAGUGUUUUAUCCUUUCCUUUUGAGGCUAGUUUCUUUUUUCCUUUCCCUUGUUGCUAAUCUGUGCCAAACUUGGAUUUUCGGCUAAGGUUAGUUUCUUUUGUUCAGCUUUGUUUCUUUCCCAUAUUGAUAAGUCUUCAAAAGUGUAUUUAUCCCCCGAAUAACACCUUGUCUGUCUAGCACUUAGCUUGUAUUAUUGUGUUAUAUCUGUUGAUUAGUGCUUUCUUGUCUAUUGUGUAGGUUUCAUGAGCCGAAAAUGCGAAUAUUAUGUUAAAACCCGCCAAAAAUCAAGAAAAGCAACCAAAAAAGUGUUAUUUGCAAUAAAGAAGGAGAAUUAAUAUUUGUACCCACAGAUCUGCUGAGGGCACCCCACAGUCAGUCCUGUUGAUUUGACUUUAUGUCAAAGUUGGCCGGUCCGAAUCUCAGCCCAAACCGGGUCCUAUUGAAGCCCACAAAUCAGAAUUUCUAUUUUAGGCCUUAUUUAAAGUCCAAACUUAAAAAGGCUCUACAAGGAGAUCCAGACGUCUGAUUUGGGCCCAUGAGCUAUCAAACUGAAGGUCUUGGUCCAGGGUACAACUUAAGCCCAAAAUAAUUAGGUUUUGUUGAAGACCUAAUGCCUCUAUAAGACCAACAGAAGCAGCCACGAAUUUGACCUAAUUUGGAAGUCUUUGUAUGCAAGUAUUAUUCUUUGUAUUUUCUAUACAAGAGAAGUAGUAGCUAAGGUUUAGGUAUCUUUGAAGAGAGAGGAAAGUGAAUAUUUGUGAGAGAAAAGUUCAUUUUUUUCUUCUUCUUUAUAUCAAAUUAAAUUAUCAAUAUCAAUCCAUAUCUUUUCCAUUAUGAUGUCUUGUGAUUUAUUUAUUUAUUCCAUGGUGUCGUCAUCAACGAGGAGUAGCUAAACCUCCUUAGGGUGAUGGUUGAAGCACUCUAGAUAAUGCAAAGCACCAUGUUUGUUUUUAAUAUUCAUUGUGAUUCAAAGUACUUAAUGCUUAUUUACUUCUAACUGCAGUAUGAGGUAAGUAUGAUUAUUUGCAUGUUAUUCUUAUCCAUGUUAUUAAAAUAUUAUUGUUAGGGUUUAGGGAGACCUAGCUUUAAUGGUUUUAUUUAUAUUAAUUAAAGAUGUAUAGUGAAAUAGCUGAGAGAUGAUUAUUACAUAUCUGCAGUUGAUAUCUUUUAUUGGAACCCUUUUUGUAAUUAAGUCAAAUAACUGAGAGGUGAUGAUUUAGUUAUUAAUAAUAUGUUGAGUUAAUUAAAUUGAAUAGCUGAGAGGUGACGGUUUGAUUAAUAAGACAUAUUCAAUAGCAUGCAUAAGAGAAUCCUGUUUUAAUUGAGUGGAAUAGCUGAGAGGUGACUACUUGAUUAUUAUAGGUAUUAGUGAUUAGUUGGAAUAACUGAGAGGUGACUAAUUAAUUAUUAUAGAUUGAACAUGAAGGAACAACAUGUUAUGUUCACAUGAUUUAAUUUGUGGAUACCAAUUUUUCCCCCUUUGUCAUCAUAUAUCUACUUUAUAUCUCUUCCAUAUUUUUAAGUUAGGGUUUACUUAUUAUUAUUGUCUGUAGGAAGUUAGAAUCAAUCUCAAAUCUUGUUUGUUGAUUCCCUUGGUGUUUCUUAACCAUUGUUUUCUAUUGUGUUUGAGCUAAUAUCUCCCCCUCUGAGGUGGGUACGACCCUUGCUUGUAACUUAUCUACUUUGAUAACCAAUUUAUACAGGCACAAGAAGAAAAAUGAAAUACAAAUACAUCUUUUGAUUAGUGUAGCCAAAAAUUACACUAUCAAAAUGGCGUCGUUGCCGCUCUAAGGAACGGAGUUCAUUCAAACACAAGCGAGAAUAGUUGUUUCGGGACAUCAUCCCACUUCUAUCCCUCCCACCCUUCUAUUUUUAAUUCUUUUUAUUAUUGUUUUUAAGUGUCUUGUUACUUAGUCCUCUUAUUGAUCUUGCAGCUAAGACGGAUUGAAAAAAGCUUGAAAAACGGAGUAAAGAUUAAAUUUUUAAGAAAAGUGCGCAUUCAGGAAAUUUUCCUGAAGUUUACCGGUUGAUACUGGGCCCGAUCUCGAGUCGAGUUCAAAUUGGCCUGUAAGCAUCUCGAGUCGAGUUCCAGGCAGGGAAUUUGCCUCGUUUUGCGUGAUUUUUUCAGAGCAUUCCAGAACUCUUUUUCAGCUAAUUUAUUUUUCCUGUUGAGAGAUUGUGAGGUGAACUAAGUAGUCUAUUUUUUUCAGCAUUUUUAAAGACUUGUAAGAUAUUUAAUUAUUCGAUCCACGAAAAGGUCGCGGUUGUAAUAUUCUUAAAGUAGGUGUUGUUAGGAUUUAUUUUAUUAUGUGUUUGCGGUGGAUAGUAGAGCAUGGUUGUGGAGCUAGCCUUAGUUCUACUAAGGAACGACUCCUUAGGACGAUUGAAACCAAAUGAGCGAUUUCCCCUUAGUCGACUUCAACUUGUCUUCUCCCCACUUUUGUGCGCUUGUUUGGCACUUUUAUUUUUUAGCACAAAGUGGGAGGUAAGAAUUCUCCUAACCCUCCUCGAAUCCCCUGCAAGAGGAGUUCUGUAUUGAUUAGCAUGACCAUGAUUGUUGCUUGAUUUCAAUUUUGUUUUUACUUAUUAAACCGAGACUGCAAGGCGGACCUGGCCUAAAAGUGAAACCUCAUGUUAAUUGAUUGCAAUACCUAAGCUUUAAAAUUGAAUCAACUAAAGUCAUGCUAUCACGAUGUUAGGAAUCGAGUAGAUAUUUCAACUAAUACUGCGUGAACCAUCCUUUGAUUGGAGCACAAGUUAGGAAUUGGGUCUGAAAAACCUCCCACACUGGUUAUUCGCUGCUUGACUCACGAAAUAUAGGGAGAAUUCACAAGGGAAGCUUGGAAAGAACUCAUUGACUUGGGUGAACAAAAAAUUGAGUCAGUUUUUGAACCCCUUGUUAGAUGCUUUUGAAUGGUUAGGACUUCUGUGACAUUUGUAAUGCGCAUGUUGCAUGCAUCUUAGAUCAGGUAAAAUGUUGUCCAAACCAACUCCAAUCUACACAAAGAGCACAAUCACGGACCUCACUCCUUCUCUUGAGGAAGAGUUUAACUUUUCAACCUCCAUACCUUCUGAAGAAGAGUUCAACGACUCGACUUCACUUUCUGAAGUAACACCUGCCCCUAUGGCUCAAGAAGCUACCCUUCGGGAUUACUUUUCACCUUUGGCCACUGGGUCACCUACCUGCAUACUCUUGCCCGAGACAACUGCAGAUAGCUAUGGCAUUCGCCCACAGAUUGUGGGAAUGUUGCCUAAGUUCUUUGGACUUCCACGGGAAGAUCCAUAUCAGCACCUCAAUAAGUUUCUGACCGUUCUCAAUACUUUUAAGGAGAAACAUUUGUCUGAGGAGGAAGUUAGCUUGAGAUUGUUCCCCUUUUCUCUUAAGGAUAGAGCAUCUCACUGGUUACAUGGCCUACCUUCUAAUUCUAUUAAAACCUGGGCUCAACUAAGUAAAGAGUUUUUAACCAAAUUCUUUCCUAUUUCCAGAACUAAUGACAUAGUUGAUGUCAUAAGAAGUUUUUGGCAGAAAGAGGGCGAGGUAUUCUUUGAUGCAUGGGAGAUGUUUCAAGACCUAUUUCUUCAGUGUCCACACCACAGAGUUGAUGACACAAAAAAAGUUAGGAUCAUAUAUAGAAGCCUUAAUUAUACAUCUAGAAACUUGAUUGAAAGCAUGAGCGGUGGAGAAUUCCAUGAUUAAUCCACCGCCAAGGCUCGGGCAUUCCUUGAAAAGAUUGCUAAUAAUAGCCAACAAUGGGACUUACCUGGACCAACCCUGAGAAACACUACCCUGGACUCAUAUGAUAAACCUAGAGGCAUGAAUGAGGUCAAACCUGACCCUGAGCUUAAAACUUUACUUCAUGGUUUAGUAAAAAAGGUAGAAGCACUUGAGGUGUCCUUAAAGCCCACAUCACCUGUUAUGAGUGCCUCCACUCUCCAAUGUACUGCUUGUCAUGACCAGACCCAUACUGCCGUGUUUUGCCCUCUCCUUUAUAAUUCACCAGAAACUGAGGAAGCCCGUGCGUUCACUUACGCCGGGCAGACCAACUUUACUAAGGGCAAUGCCACGUACCCAUACAUGGA